ACUUAUGUAUUGUUUAUUAGAAAUUGAGUUUUGUUCACCAUCCUGGGUUUUAUGUUCAUCGAAGACUUUGUCCGUGGAAUGCAAAAAGAAGAAGGAAACUACACAUAUAUUUUUGUCAUUUUAGUAUUUUAAAUUAAUCAUGCUUUUCUUAAUAGAUAUACUAAUGUAUAGAAGAAGGCUCGCCGUCUAAUCCAUCAACAAAAAGUAACAAAUCAGGGAAUCAUCCAUAUUGAACAUUGUCUGCGACAUGGCUGAGGAACCUGAUCGGAGUAGUGGCGGCAAAAGAUUUUCCAGCCGAGCCUUCCGAGAAGGUGCCGAAGCUCGAUUAUGUUCAGAGAAUUGUGGAAUUGUCUGUGUAUUCUGAUUGGAUUUUUUAUACGAGUUUUUUGACUCCAGAUAUUCUAAUAAAUUGUACUCUCCAUUUUUGUUGUUUUUUAUAAAUGGCAACUUGAAAACUAA
Molecule: long non-coding RNA, 459 nt
Organism: Salvia miltiorrhiza (redroot sage)
Lineage: Eukaryota; Viridiplantae; Streptophyta; Magnoliopsida; Lamiales; Lamiaceae
Exons: 2
Source: RefSeq, a predicted model, not a curated record